CAACGAUUCCAUGUCGUAGCUCUUCCCCCAUUCUCGUCGCUCGACCUCAUCUCCGGUGUCCUGCGUCCCCGCCUCUUCUCCUUCGUCUUGUGGUUUCUCGAAUCCGCCGGAACAGUUGUGAUCGUGUUGCCGGCACGAGUAGCAUGAGCGCGAAACAUGCGGCGCCUCGUUCAUGCCCUUGAUGAGCGCUUCGACUAGUGCUUGCCGCGGGAAUCUCGUUUUCUUUCUCGGCGAUGCACGUCCCGCCCGCGGUAGCGCGCAGAACCACAUGCUUGCUUUUGUUAUUCAGCGGAGUCGGCGACGGCGGAGCGCCUCCCGAAUGAUUGGAAAUUGUAAGUACAAGGGGUACCCCAAGAAGAGAUCUUGGUGGCAGAAGUUCUUCUCGGACGGAGACGACGAGAGCUGGUUCGGCUUGAGUGCUGAGGAUGUGCUCGGCGUCGACGGGGUAGGCGAUGAUUACGGAGAGAAGGACGGGCCGGAGGAUGAGAGAUUUGAGGCUUGGAAGAGCAGGGCCGAGGCGAUCGUUGAGCUCCGUGAAUCACAAGAGAAUGCGAGAAAUGCGGAGGGCCGAGCGUGGGAAGAUUGGCUUGGACGAGAUGAACUUGCUGGCGGGGGUUCUUCGUCUUCGGAUCAGGAUUGGGGCGGUGAAGCGGCCGGACCUCCGAGCGAGGUGGCCGAUGACCCAGAGGAGAUAACGCGGGAGAAGGGUCUUGUAGAAGCAAUUAAGGAUGCGAUUGCUGAGAAUGAUGAAGAACUGUUGUUCGAGGAUAGAGUUUUCCGGUAUGCUUCGACUAGUUCGGCAAAAUUUGUUGCUUUAUUGAUUCUCGUUCCAUGGGCAUUGGACUUUGUGGUUCAUGACUUUGUCCUGAUGCCAUUCUUAGACAGGUAUGUGAAGACCGUACCACUUGCUGCUGAGAUGCUUGAUGUUAGGAGACAACAAAAACUUGAGAUGAUAAAGACUUUAAAGCUUGAGAGAGCAAGAUUGCGCUUAGAGGUAGAGAUUGGUAAAUCUCCUCCUCUUUCAGAUGAAGACAUCUGGGUGGAGUUGCGGCACAAAGCGAUAGAUCUAAGAGAUGAAUGGAGAUUAGAGAACCGAAAAGCAUUUGCAAACAUUUGGUCAGACAUGGUGUAUAGCAUCACAUUAUUCAUUCUUAUCUACUUCAAUAAGAGCAAAGUUGCUUUGCUAAAGUUUACAGGAUAUAAGCUACUAAAUAACAUUUCAGACACAGGGAAAGCAUUCCUUAUUAUUUUAAUCACAGAUAUUUUUUUGGGGUAUCAUUCUGAGUCUGGUUGGCAGGCUUUGAUAGAGAUUAUUCUUGAGCAUUAUGGGCUUGAAAUUGAUAAAGCUGCAAUAACCAUUUUCAUUUGCUCAGUUCCAGUUGUGAUUGAUGCCUGUGUGAAGCUUUGGCUAUUCAGGUUCCUUCCGAGGCUGUCCCCAAAUGUGUCUAAUAUUUUCCAAGAAAUGAAGCGGCAUUAGUCGCAGCCAUCUUGUUCUCACUUUUUAGUUGGCUCCAUGACUGUCCUUAGGCCCCUGCAAGACAAUUGGCCUUGAAAGUCUUUACAAUAACGAUGACCACCAACUUUUGCCUCCCUCUGAUGUUCCAAUUGCAAAAUCUGUGACCAUAUUUCUAUCAAUUUUCUUUCCAAGGGAUUCUACUAAUUUCAGAGUACCAAAAACAGAAGUACUUUCAUAUUGGCAGUACAUAUGUUUACCAGUUGCCUUUGGAAGGUGCUCCUACCAGAUCUUACACAUGAUAUGAUGGAUUGAAAUCUUAAAGGGUGACGCAGGAAGCAUUUGAUUUCUGCUCAAUAGAUACAUUUUACAAGUGUGCCAAAACCGUUCUAGAUAUUUCUUCUUGGUAGUUAACCUUUUCUGGCAGCAGAUCACAAGUUCUGCACCAUCAUUAAGAGUCAGAAGUGGGUUGUUUUCCAUAGCACAUACAAAAUAAUACGUGCAAGAUCUCUAAUUCCAGCCUGAAGUUACCCACUUGCUCUGUUGUCUAUGCUGCAUGAUGUCCUUCACUGACGCCUAUCCAUCACGGGGAUUAGUCAAGGCUUGUACUAAAGUGUCUGAGGAAUUGCUUUGUGUUUAUUCCCUGCACCAACGAUGCCAUCAAGACACAUUCGAUCCAGCCUACUUUAAGUUGGUUCAUGUUAUGUACAAGUAUUCAUUUGAGCUGUAUAUGUCAUAUUGAAUGUUCCAUACAAUGUAGGGUAUCGCAAAACCACUACAACACGACACAUAUUUCA
Musa acuminata subsp. malaccensis (wild Malaysian banana) is the source of this 2250-nucleotide RNA transcript. It is a transcript of the gene named protein DAY-LENGTH-DEPENDENT DELAYED-GREENING 1, chloroplastic, with no coding region annotated. The record is from RefSeq and is a predicted model, not a curated record. Lineage: Eukaryota; Viridiplantae; Streptophyta; Magnoliopsida; Zingiberales; Musaceae.